Molecule: ribosomal RNA, 240 nt
Filed under: uncultured bacterium
Lineage: Bacteria
Description: partial 16S ribosomal RNA
Rfam family: Bacterial small subunit ribosomal RNA
Source: RNAcentral
GAUCAUGGCUCAGAUUGAACGCCGGCGGCAGGCUUAACACAUGCAAGUCGAACGGUAACAGGAGAGAGCUUGCUUUCUUGCUGACGAGUGGCGGACGGGUGAGUAAUGCUUGGGAAUCUGGCUUAUGAGGGGGGAUAACGACGGGAAACUGUCGCUAAUACCGCGUAGAGUCGAGAGACGAAAGUAGACGGGACGGCAAGGCCGCACGCCACUAGGAUGAGCCACGUACGGAGUAGGUAG